This 46-nucleotide non-coding RNA is filed under the name Schistosoma mansoni. The record is from RNAcentral. Lineage: Eukaryota; Metazoa; Platyhelminthes; Trematoda; Strigeidida; Schistosomatidae.
GAACUGCUGAAGAGUUCCACGACAAGACGAAACAGCCGUCCUGUGC